CGUAGGGGAGCAAGCGUUGUCCGGGAAUUACUGGGUGUAAAGGGAGCGUAGGCGGGGAAAGCAAGUUGAAUGUUUAAUCUAUGGGCUCAACCCAUAUCCGCGUUCAAAAACUGCUUUUUCUUGAGUGAAGUAGAGGUUGGCGGAAUUCCUAGUGUAGCGGUGAAAUGCGUAGAUAUUAGGAGGAACACCAGUGGCGAAGGCGGCCAACUGGGCUUUUACUGACGCUGAGGCUCGAAAGCGUGGGGAGCAAACAGGAUU
Molecule: ribosomal RNA, 258 nt
Filed under: uncultured bacterium
Lineage: Bacteria
Description: partial 16S ribosomal RNA
Rfam family: Bacterial small subunit ribosomal RNA
Source: RNAcentral